UACCCUAAUCGUAACUCAUUCUCUUCCUUCGCCGCCGCAGGUAGACGACGCUCUUCGUUUCGUAGAUCUAGGCGACGGAGCUUCUCCGACGGGCGUAAUACUCGCAUAUUCUUGUAGAUCGAGAGCCGAUCUACCUUUUGGCUAUGGCUUUUAGGUUUUUGGUUUUACGAUCUGAGUUUGGCCGUCGGAGGUUUCGUCCUGUCGGUUGUAUGAUUUCUUGAGGUUUGAUCCGUCGCGUAGAUGUUCGAUCGAGGAGAUCGAUGGGUAUGUAUCAGCAUCUGGAAGAUCGGUUGAGGUUCAAGAGUGGUGCCUGAAGCGGAUCCGAGUCUUUUCGCCCGAAGUUGUGAAUUGGCUUGCUCUUCGAACCUUCCGAUGUUCCUUUCACGGACUACCGUGUUCGUUACAGUUGUCGGCCGGAUUUGCGCUAGCAGCGCCUUCGUACGGUUACGGCAAAAUGGUUUGUGCUAUUUCUUUUUGUUAUUCUGCUAAAUUUAUGCUUAUAGUUACUUUGAGGGAGUUUUAUGUAAAAAAAGAGAGCGAGGGAUGAAAUUUGUGAAAAAAAUCGUGAGAGGUGAGGACACUGCGUGUGUUUGGAAUGACCUUUGCCAUGUUGGGUGCGCUCGCAUGGCAGGUCACCGCAUAAUAAAAGUUGAGGUUUUUUGUUUCGAGGGGAGAUGGUACGGGGAUUUGCCCGGCUCUCCCCUCUGUGUUGUCUCGUCUCUUGCCCCCUCCCCCUUCUAUUAUUCUCCUUGAUCGUGCUCGCUUAAGUUCAAUACUCGGCAAUACAUCAAUGGUGUUUGGUGAUGAAUGGGUUGCGUGGUUUGUUAUGACAUCAUCUAACAAACGCUAGCACCCAUUCAUCUCCAAAGCAUGUACAAAUUGUUUGCGAUAAAAGUUCGUCAGCAAGCAUAUGCAAUAUCGGGAUCGUCAUCUGAAUCAACAAUAUCAGUUUGAGGUACAUACAAUUUAUUGUUCAUUUUAAUUACAGCAACUUUUAAGUUUUUGGUUAAUUAUUUAAAUUGAAAAAUAGCAUCAUAGAUAUUUUUGCCACAUAAUCCCUGAUUAGUAAGAAAUUCAUCCAUCGUUAAGAGUAUGUUAACAAGACCCAAAAAAUUCAACGUUACAAUUCAUUAUUUUCUCGUUGAGCUCAAGCAACGGAAGUUUUUGGUUAAUUGUUUAAAUUGAAAAAUAGUAUAGUACAUAUUUUUGCCGCAGUUUCUUAUUAUUAACAAAAUCUUCUCCUCAAAGAGCAUGAUUCAUCUUUAAUAGUAUGUUAACCAGACCCUAAAAUUGAACAUUGCAAUUCAUUAUUCUCUUGGCGAGCUCAAGCAAAAAUUAUGACUAGCUUCAACUUAUUUCAUUCUCCCAUCUUUGAAUCACCUAAAAUAAAUGCAGUCCUGCACUCUAAAAGCAAUCAAAGCUGUUAACGCUGGAGGCUCUAUUCUGGUAUUAAUUUCUUGUACACAACAUAUGAACUACAAUAAUUUCUUGAUAGUCACGCAUAUUAACCACACCGCAAUUAAAGUUCAUAUGUCAGACAAAAUUGCAACACAGGCUUGUUAUUUCUUGAUUUUGUUUUUGUUAACUGUUAAAUUUUUCUCAAUUGAACUCUAAUAAUUAUGUGAUUAUAUUCACUUUACCAUAUUGGCUGUGGAGAGUUAUCUACCAUUGUCAAGGUAGGUGAUAGUGUGUUAAGGGCAAGCCUUCUUCCUAAGAAUGUUAGUUUGAAGGCAUGGUUUCUUGUAAUAGAUAAAGCAGUUUGGUUGUGGGUCUCAUUUGUAAGAGCUGGAUUACACUACACUUCCAUGGCUUGAAAGAGGGAUCUGGUUUGAAGAUAGAUGCUGCUUCUCAAGUUUCGUUGCUUUGCUGUUGUGGCUAAUGGGUGAGAGGAAGCCUGCAGACUCAAGAUGCUGGUGUUGCAGUUCAAGUUUUGUGUCCUCCGAAGAUCUUCGACCCUUGAGUUCAUUGUUGUGCAGCUGACUUGAUUUGGUGAAAGAACCACAUGCUGCCGGUGCUGCUGCUGCUGCUGCUUUUCAGCUGUGUUGAAGUGAUUCCUUUCAUUCCCCUUCGGUAGAAAGCUGUUAAUAUGUUUCUCUUUCAAGAUAUAUAGCUGGAGAUUUGGAUCAACGUUUUGGACAGGAAAUUUUGCACUCUCUUCUGUGAUGUGAUUCUGCAAUGUUUGAUUGACACCCGCGAAGGAGGUGCAGAUGGUGUUCUUGUUCCUGCUAUCCACGUUGCGGAUGGGAAGUACUCUUAAUUCAGAACUGAAUAAUAAAUAAUUUUCAUUUCGAGCCCUCUGAUUAAUGCGUUUUCUUGCUACGAUUUUGUAGCCUAGUUAGUGCUUGCGUGUUAAUUUUUCUUGUGUUUGAAAUUUACCUUAAUUAUUUCGUUUUUCUAGUAUAGAAAACAUAAUGUGUUCAUUCCUA
Molecule: long non-coding RNA, 2426 nt
Organism: Andrographis paniculata
Lineage: Eukaryota; Viridiplantae; Streptophyta; Magnoliopsida; Lamiales; Acanthaceae
Exons: 3
Source: RefSeq, a predicted model, not a curated record